Molecule: ribosomal RNA, 492 nt
Filed under: uncultured bacterium
Lineage: Bacteria
Description: partial 16S ribosomal RNA
Rfam family: Bacterial small subunit ribosomal RNA
Source: RNAcentral
AGUGAACGCUGGCGGUAGGCCUAACACAUGCAAGUCGAACGGCAGCACAGUAAGAGCUUGCUCUUACGGGUGGCGAGUGGCGGACGGGUGAGGAAUACAUCGGAAUCUACUUUUUCGUGGGGGAUAACGUAGGGAAACUUACGCUAAUACCGCAUACGACCUACGGUUGAAAGCAGGGGAUCUUCUGACCUUGCGCGAUUGAAUGAGCCGAUGUCGGAUUAGCUAGUUGGCGGGGUAAAGGCCCACCAAGGCGACGAUCCGUAGCUGGUCUGAGAGGAUGAUCAGCCACACUGGAACUGAGACACGGUCCAGACUCCUACGGGAGGCAGCAGUGGGGAAUAUUGGACAAUGGGCGCAAGCCUGAUCCAGCCAUACCGCGUGGGUGAAGAAGGCCUUCGGGUUGUAAAGCCCUUUUGUUGGGAAAGAAAAGCAGCAGGUUAAUACCCCGCUGUUCUGACGGUACCCAAAGAAUAAGCACCGGCUAACUUCGUG